ACAAGAGGCAGGGAGUGGGUUAGAGUGAAGCAGCAGGUGGCAGUGAGGGUGGAGAGAAGAAACGAAAUAUAGUCCUUGCCACAGAGAAAGAAGCGCUCCCUUGACCUAGAGGCCGGUGUCCUCCCAUGGAUGGCCUUUAAAACAACUGGCUGGCAUAUAAUAAGAGGGGCACCUGUUGGAAGACUCCGGAGAAGGAAGACGCAUCUGAAAUUUGGUGCCAUGACUCGAAUCGGGGGACCUCCCUUGGAAGAUCAAUCCCCUGUCCUCCUGCUCUUUACUCCAUGAGAAAGAUCCACCUACAACCUCUGGUCCUCAGGCCAACCAGCCCAAGGAACAUCUCACCAAUUUUAUAUCCGGUACCCACUGGAAAUUGGACUCUCCAACUCACCCGGCAGCCACUCCCAGAGCCACUGGAACUCUGGCCCAACGCUCUCUGACUGACUCCUUCCCAGAUCAUCUCAGCUUAGCGGCUGAAGAUUGAUGCUGCCCAAUCACCUCAGAAGCUUCCUGGACCAUCACAUACGCUUUGGGUAACUCUUACAGUGGAGGGGUGGCCUUGGCAAAAGAGGAAGUCAAAUCUGGAACCAAGGGGUCCCAGCCCAUGUCCCCCUCUGAUUUCCUAGACAAACUUAUGGGGCGAACAUCUGGAUAUGAUGCCAGGAUUCGGCCCAAUUUUAAAGGCCCACCCGUGAACGUGACCUGCAACAUCUUCAUCAACAGUUUCAGCUCCAUCACCAAGACCACAAUGGACUACCGGGUGAAUGUCUUCUUGCGGCAACAGUGGAAUGACCCACGCCUGUCCUACCGAGAAUAUCCUGAUGACUCUCUGGACCUCGAUCCCUCCAUGCUGGACUCUAUCUGGAAGCCAGACCUCUUCUUUGCUAAUGAGAAAGGGGCCAACUUCCAUGAGGUGACCACGGACAACAAGUUACUGCGCAUCUUCAAGAAUGGGAAUGUGCUGUACAGCAUCAGGCUGACCCUCAUUUUGUCCUGCCUGAUGGACCUCAAGAACUUCCCCAUGGACAUCCAGACCUGCACGAUGCAGCUUGAGAGCUUUGGCUACACCAUGAAAGACCUCGUGUUUGAGUGGCUGGAAGAUGCUCCUGCUGUCCAAGUGGCUGAGGGGCUGACUCUGCCCCAGUUUAUCUUGCGGGAUGAGAAGGAUCUAGGCUGUUGUACCAAGCACUACAACACAGGUGUCCUACGUGAAGGCAAUCGACAUCUGGAUGGCUGUGUGUCUGCUCUUUGUGUUCGCUGCCUUGCUGGAGUAUGCUGCCAUAAAUUUUGUUUCUCGUCAGCAUAAAGAAUUCAUACGACUUCGAAGAAGGCAGAGGCGCCAACGCUUGGAGGAAGAUAUCAUCCAAGAAAGUCGUUUCUAUUUCCGUGGCUAUGGCUUGGGCCACUGCCUGCAGGCAAGAGAUGGAGGUCCAAUGGAAGGUUCUGGCAUUUAUAGUCCCCAACCUCCAGCCCCUCUUCUAAGGGAAGGAGAAACCACGCGGAAACUCUACGUGGACUGAGCCAAGAGAAUUGACACCAUCUCCCGGGCUGUCUUCCCUUUCACUUUCCUCAUCUUCAAUAUCUUCUACUGGGU
Molecule: long non-coding RNA, 1591 nt
Organism: Homo sapiens (human)
Lineage: Eukaryota; Metazoa; Chordata; Mammalia; Primates; Hominidae
Source: Ensembl